CCUGCAGAUAAAGUUGAUAUACCUGCUUAUAGCCAUACUACACUGAAACACAUGUAGAUAUAUACAUUUAAAUAUAUAGAGAGAGAGCUUUUUAGUCGGUGCAUUUUACAACGACAUUUCGAUUAUAAUUGGGAAUUUAAGAGAAAGCUCGAGUUUAAUCGUGCGGUCCUGUUCUGUUGUCUAAUGGCUGGUGAUAGAUUCACUGCAGCGGCAUCAAAACACAUGACAGAGCAUCAUGCGGAGCGUUCGGAUCAGCUGGUCGUUAUAUGGGAUCAUUAAAGACCGAGGUUUUCUGUAGAGUGAAGAGAAUGCUGAUGAGGAUGGUGAGAAGGAGGAGGAAGAUUUCCAGAUGCCGACACAGCAGUGGGCAAUCGUUCCAUCACUGAUUCUUGCACUGGAAGUGUAAACAUUUUCGACUGGCCAUUUUUCAAUCUCAGCAGUCAAACCUCAUGGACCACAGAGCUCAGAGAGACAAGAGCAGGGCCAGCUAUUUUGGAAAUGUCAAGAACAGGUAAGGUUUGGCUUCGUCUAAAGGAAUAGAUGAAAAAAGAAAUCAUCAAUGUUUAGAUCAAGCUCAUAAAGAAACCUGUGUCAUUAUUUUUCAUUAGAUUGGGAUCAAAGCUGCCGGCUGGAAUUUCGCAGCCUCCAGGCUUCAUUACGGCUCAGUGUUCCAUUGGCACGCAGGGUGCACUGGGGAAGAGUGUUGGGCAGGAGUGUGCCAAAGGACAUCACCAAAUCCGGAACCCCAAACUGAGACAGUACUAUCUAAAGGGUAUGUGAAUGACCAUUUACAAUGAUUGACAAUUAACUGAUUUGUAAGGCACCUAACCAUACACUUAUACUUUAAUAGUGUUGUUGGAAAUGUCAAGAACAGGUAAGGUUUGGCUUCGUCUAAAGGAAUAGAUGAAAAAAGAAAUCAUCAAUGUUUAGAUCAAGCUCAUAAAGAAACCUGUGUCAUUAUUUUUCAUUAGAUUGGGAUCAAAGCUGCCGGCUGGAAUUUCGCAGCCUCCAGGCUUCAUUACGGCUCAGUGUUCCAUUGGCACGCAGGGUGCACUGGGGAAGAGUGUUGGGCAGGAGUGUGCCAAAGGACAUCACCAAAUCCGGAACCCCAAACUGAGACAGUACUAUCUAAAGGGUAUGUGAAUGACCAUUUACAAUGAUUGACAAUUAACUGAUUUGUAAGGCACCUAACCAUACACUUAUACUUUAUAUCUUUUUUGAUUAUGGCAAACAGAGCUAGGAUUAAGGAUUUGCACUAUUGUUCAAAGUUUUGGGGUCAGUAAGAUUUGUUUUUAAAG
Molecule: long non-coding RNA, 1298 nt
Filed under: Sinocyclocheilus grahami
Lineage: Eukaryota; Metazoa; Chordata; Actinopteri; Cypriniformes; Cyprinidae
Description: lncRNA (ENSSGRG00000013577.1)
Source: RNAcentral